CGCCUUCUGACCUAUAAAUAUAGAAGGUCCUGCCUGCCCAGUGACCCUGUUCAACGGCCGCGGUAUCAUGACCGUGCAAAGGUAGCGUAAUCACUUGUCUUUUAAAUAAAGACCAGUAUGAAUGGCUAAACGAGGGCCUAACUGUCUCCCCAAGCCAGUCAGUGAAAUUGAUCUUCCCGUGCAGAAGCGGGAGUAAAAAUAUAAGACGAGAAGACCCUGUGGAGCUUACAAAUCCAAGCUACAACAUGUACGCACCAGAUUUUUGGUUGGGGCGACCAUGAGGCACAGUAAACCCUCAAGACCUAAAACCAGAAGGACACUUCAAACCAAGGCACACCCAUACAUUGACCCAACACUUGACCAACGAACCAAGUUACCCCAGGGAUAACAGCGCAAUCCUCUCACAGAGCCCCUAUCGACGAGCGGGUUUACGACCUCGAUGUUGGAUCAGGACCCCCCGAGCGGCGCAACAGCUGUCAAAGGUUCGUUUGUUCAACGAUUAAAGUCCU
This 509-nucleotide ribosomal RNA is filed under the name Cryptotriton necopinus. Its description in RNAcentral is "partial 16S ribosomal RNA". It matches the Rfam family "Bacterial large subunit ribosomal RNA", at positions 1817 to 2597 of the family's 2925-position model. The record is from RNAcentral. Lineage: Eukaryota; Metazoa; Chordata; Amphibia; Caudata; Plethodontidae.